RNAcentral lists this ribosomal RNA (440 nucleotides) under uncultured Duganella sp. RNAcentral describes it as "bacterial SSU rRNA". It matches the Rfam family "Bacterial small subunit ribosomal RNA", at positions 358 to 790 of the family's 1533-position model. The record is from RNAcentral. Lineage: Bacteria; Pseudomonadati; Pseudomonadota; Betaproteobacteria; Burkholderiales; Oxalobacteraceae.
GGAAUUUUGGACAAUGGGCGCAAGCCUGAUCCAGCAAUGCCGCGUGAGUGAAGAAGGCCUUCGGGUUGUAAAGCUCUUUUGUCAGGGAAGAAACGGGUCUUUCUAAUACAGAGAUCUAAUGACGGUACCUGAAGAAUAAGCACCGGCUAACUACGUGCCAGCAGCCGCGGUAAUACGUAGGGUGCAAGCGUUAAUCGGAAUUACUGGGCGUAAAGCGUGCGCAGGCGGUUUUGUAAGACUGUCGUGAAAUCCCCGGGCUCAACCUGGGAAUGGCGAUGGUGACUGCAAGGCUAGAGUUUGGCAGAGGGGGGUAGAAUUCCACGUGUAGCAGUGAAAUGCGUAGAUAUGUGGAGGAACACCGAUGGCGAAGGCAGCCCCCUGGGUCAAAACUGACGCUCAUGCACGAAAGCGUGGGGAGCAAACAGGAUUAGAUACCCGAG